RNAcentral lists this transfer RNA (74 nucleotides) under Planctomycetota bacterium. RNAcentral's name for it is "Planctomycetes bacterium (groundwater metagenome) tRNA-Arg". It matches the Rfam family "tRNA". Rfam says of the family: Transfer RNA (tRNA) molecules are approximately 80 nucleotides in length. Their secondary structure includes four short double-helical elements and three loops (D, anti-codon, and T loops). The record is from RNAcentral. Lineage: Bacteria; Pseudomonadati; Planctomycetota.
GCGCCCGUAGCUCAGCAGGAUAGAGCGGCGGUUUCCUAAACCGCAGGCCACCUGUACGAUUGCGCUCGGGCACG